RNAcentral lists this small RNA (1096 nucleotides) under Pongo abelii (Sumatran orangutan). RNAcentral's name for it is "processed transcript". The record is from RNAcentral. Lineage: Eukaryota; Metazoa; Chordata; Mammalia; Primates; Hominidae.
GAGCUUCCGCGCAUGCGCGCUGAGGCCUGCCUGACCGACCUUCAGCAGGGCUGCGGCUACCAUGUUCUCUCGCGCGGGCGUCGCUGGGCUGUCGGCCUGGACCUUGCAGCCGCAAUGUUACCAGGAGACUAAAGUCCAUCAAAAACAUCCAGAAAAUUACCAAGUCUAUGAAAAUGGUAGCAGCAGCAAAAUAUGCCCGAGCUGAGAGAGAGCUGAAACCAGCUCGAAUAUAUGGAUUGGGAUCUUUAGCUCUGUAUGAAAAAGCUGAUAUCAAGGGGCCUGAAGACAAGAAGAAACACCUCCUUAUUGGUGUGUCCUCAGAUCGAGGACUGUGUGGUGCUAUUCAUUCCUCCAUCGCUAAACAGAUGAAAAGCGAGGUUGCUACACUAACAGCAGCUGGGAAAGAAGUUAUGCUUGUUGGAGUUGGUGACAAAAUCAGAGGCAUACUUUAUAGGACUCAUUCUGACCAGUUUCUGGUGGCAUUCAAAGAAGUGGGAAGAAAGCCCCCCACUUUUGGAGAUGCGUCAGUCAUUGCCCUUGAAUUACUAAAUUCUGGAUAUGAAUUUGAUGAAGGCUCCAUCAUCUUUAAUAAAUUCAGGUCUGUCAUCUCCUAUAAGACAGAAGAAAAGCCCAUCUUUUCCCUUAAUACCGUUGCAAGUGCUGACAGCAUGAGUAUCUAUGAUGAUAUUGAUGCUGACGUGCUGCAAAAUUACCAAGAAUACAAUCUGGCCAACAUCAUCUACUACUCUCUGAAGGAGUCCACCACUAGUGAGCAGAGUGCCAGGAUGACAGCCAUGGACAAUGCCAGCAAGAAUGCUUCUGAGAUGAUUGACAAAUUGACAUUGACAUUCAACCGUACCCGCCAAGCUGUCAUCACAAAAGAGUUGAUUGAAAUUAUCUCUGGUGCUGCAGCUCUGGAUUAAUGAAAAUCAAGUUCCAUCCUCAGACAAGAGGUAAAGAAGGAAAAUUCAGCCAGUUGAUUUUGUUUUUAGCUUACUGCUGUCUUUGUCCGAAGAAACUGUUCCUCCAUUAUUUGAAUUACUGAAGACAGCAAGAUAUUUGUAAAUUAUCUUACAAUAAACAACUUAAAAUAAAA